GCUUGAGUGGCUCAGUCGGUUUAGCAUCUGACUUUAGAUCAGGUCAUGAUUUCACGGUUCAUGGGUUCAAGCCCCACAUUGGGCA
RNAcentral lists this transfer RNA (85 nucleotides) under Felis catus (domestic cat). It matches the Rfam family "tRNA". From Rfam's summary of the family: Transfer RNA (tRNA) molecules are approximately 80 nucleotides in length. Their secondary structure includes four short double-helical elements and three loops (D, anti-codon, and T loops). RNAcentral also lists the same sequence under 2 other names. Lineage: Eukaryota; Metazoa; Chordata; Mammalia; Carnivora; Felidae. The record is from Rfam by way of RNAcentral.